RNAcentral lists this ribosomal RNA (439 nucleotides) under uncultured bacterium. RNAcentral describes it as "partial 16S ribosomal RNA". It matches the Rfam family "Bacterial small subunit ribosomal RNA", at positions 338 to 795 of the family's 1533-position model. The record is from RNAcentral.
CCUACGGGAGGCAGCAGUGGGGGAUAUUGCACAAUGGGGGAAACCCUGAUGCAGCGAUGCCGCGUGAAUGAAGACGGCCUUCGGGUUGUAAAGUUCUGUCGCAGGGGACGAAAAUGACGGUACCCUGCAAGAAAGCUCCGGCUAACUACGUGCCAGCAGCCGCGGUAAUACGUAGGGAGCAAGCGUUGUCCGGAAUUACUGGGUGUAAAGGGAGCGUAGGCGGGAGGAUAAGUUGAAUGUGAAAUCUAUGGGCUCAACCCCGUCGUGCCGUUGAAACUGAUGUUCUUGAGUGGGCGAGAAGUAUGCGGAAUGCGUGGUGUAGCGGUGAAAUGCAUAGAUAUCACGCAGAACUCCGAUUGCGAAGGCAGCAUACCGGCGCCCAACUGACGCUGAAGCACGAAAGCGUGGGUAUCGAACAGGAUUAGAUACCCCAGUAGUC